UGGAUGAACGCUAGCUACAGGCUUAACACAUGCAAGUCGAGGGGCAGCAUGGUCUUAGCUUGCUAAGGCCGAUGGCGACCGGCGCACGGGUGAGUAACACGUAUCCAACCUGCCGUCUACUCUUGGACAGCCUUCUGAAAGGAAGAUUAAUACAAGAUGGCAUCAUGAGUCCACAUGUUCACAUGAUUAAAGGUAUUCCGGUAGACGAUGGGGAUGCGUUCCAUUAGAUAGUAGGCGGGGUAACGGCCCACCUAGUCUUCGAUGGAUAGGGGUUCUGAGAGGAAGGUCCCCCACAUUGGAACUGAGACACGGUCCAAACUCCUACGGGAGGCAGCAGUGAGGAAUAUUGGUCAAUGGGCGCAGGCCUGAACCAGCCAAGUAGCGUGAAGGAUGACUGCCCUAUGGGUUGUAAACUUCUUUUAUAAAGGAAUAAAGUCGGGUAUGCAUACCCGUUUGCAUGUACUUUAUGAAUAAGGAUCGGCUAACUCCGUGCCAGCAGCCGCGGUAAUACGGAGGAUCCGAGCGUUAUCCGGAUUUAUUGGGUUUAAAGGGAGCGUAGAUGGAUGUUUAAGUCAGUUGUGAAAGUUUGCGGCUCAACCGUAAAAUUGCAGUUGAUACUGGAUAUCUUGAGUGCAGUUGAGGCAGGCGGAAUUCGUGGUGUAGCGGUGAAAUGCUUAGAUAUCACGAAGAACUCCGAUUGCGAAGGCAGCCUGCUAAGCUGCAACUGACAUUGAGGCUCGAAAGUGUGGGUAUCAAACAGGAUUAGAUACCCUGGUAGUCCACACGGUAAACGAUGAAUACUCGCUGUUUGCGAUAUACGGCAAGCGGCCAAGCGAAAGCGUUAAGUAUUCCACCUGGGGAGUACGCCGGCAACGGUGAAACUCAAAGGAAUUGACGGGGGCCCGCACAAGCGGAGGAACAUGUGGUUUAAUCCGAUGAUACGCGAGGAACCUUACCCGGGCUUAAAUUGCAGAUGAAUUACGGUGAAAGCCGUAAGCCGCAAGGCAUCUGUGAAGGUGCUGCAUGGUUGUCGUCAGCUCGUGCCGUGAGGUGUCGGCUUAAGUGCCAUAACGAGCGCAACCCUUGUUGUCAGUUACUAACAGGUUCCGCUGAGGACUCUGACAAGACUGCCAUCGUAAGAUGUGAGGAAGGUGGGGAUGACGUCAAAUCAGCACGGCCCUUACGUCCGGGGCUACACACGUGUUACAAUGGGGGGUACAGAGGGCCGCUACCACGCGAGUGGAUGCCAAUCCCAAAAACCUCUCUCAGUUCGGACUGGAGUCUGCAACCCGACUCCACGAAGCUGGAUUCGCUAGUAAUCGCGCAUCAGCCACGGCGCGGUGAAUACGUUCCCGGGCCUUGUACACACCGCCCGUCAAGCCAUGGGAGCCGGGGGUACCUGAAGUGCGUAACCGCGAGGAGCGCCCUAGGGU
Molecule: ribosomal RNA, 1433 nt
Filed under: uncultured organism
Description: SSU rRNA
Rfam family: Bacterial small subunit ribosomal RNA
Source: RNAcentral